Molecule: non-coding RNA, 271 nt
Organism: Elaeis guineensis (African oil palm)
Lineage: Eukaryota; Viridiplantae; Streptophyta; Magnoliopsida; Arecales; Arecaceae
Source: RefSeq, a predicted model, not a curated record
GAUUCUAAAGCUCGCCAGAGCCCUAGAUUCCAUCUAUAAGAAGUCCUUCCCCUCUCUUAGAUCUCUACCUAGGGUUCAUUUAGAAACCACCAUCAAUUAGAGGAUUUUUCUAGGGUUCUUCUGUGAGUUGCUGCCAAGAAAAGCUCGCUGGAAUUGCGACUUGAGGACUCACCGAGCUUAGAUAAGAGCCUCUUAGACUAGAAAUCAAGAGGAAACUUGCACAAAGGUCAAAAAAAGUAAAAUUCUUAGAUCUACAUCCAACAGAGCCACG